RNAcentral lists this long non-coding RNA (224 nucleotides) under Malus domestica (apple). RNAcentral describes it as "long non-coding RNA (MDOM_LNC004060)". The record is from RNAcentral. Lineage: Eukaryota; Viridiplantae; Streptophyta; Magnoliopsida; Rosales; Rosaceae.
UUACGUUACUCUAAUUCUUCCUCGAUCUUUGAGGAAUUUAUCCUUUAGUAUUUCUUAAAUACUUAAGGACUUACUUGACAGUUGCCAUGGUUCUGAUCCUGGGUUUGCACUGAUAUCGUCUUGUACCGUUCUAGGUACAACUCAUAUCAAUGUUUUUCAUACAAUAUGAAAUACAUAAAUCACUUUUUUGCGUAUGCAUAAAGGAUUCUAUUUACGCAUUAUUU